UAUACUGUGAAACUGCGAAUGGCUCAUUAAAUCAGUUAUCGUUUAUUUGAUAGUACCUUACUACUUGGAUAACCGUGGUAAUUCUAGAGCUAAUACAUGCUAAAAACCGCGACUUCGGAAGCGGUGUAUUUAUUAGAUAAAAAACCAAUGCCCUUCGGGGCUCCUUGGUGAUUCAUGAUAACUUAACGAAUCGCAUGGCCUUGCGCCGGCGAUGGUUCAUUCAAAUUUCUGCCCUAUCAACUUUCGAUGGUAGGAUAGUGGCCUACCAUGGUAUCAACGGGUAACGGGGAAUUAGGGUUCUAUUCCGGAGAGGGAGCCUGAGAAACGGCUACCACAUCCAAGGAAGGCAGCAGGCGCGCAAAUUACCCAAUCCCGACACGGGGAGGUAGUGACAAUAAAUACUGAUACAGGGCUCUUUUGGGUCUUGUAAUUGGAAUGAGUACAAUUUAAAUACCUUAACGAGGAACAAUUGGAGGGCAAGUCUGGUGCCAGCAGCCGCGGUAAUUCCAGCUCCAAUAGCGUAUAUUAAAGUUGUUGCAGUUAAAAAGCUCGUAGUUGAACCUUGGGCCUGGCUGGCCGGUCCGCCUCACCGCGUGUACUGGUCCGGCCGGGCCUUUCCUUCUGGGGAUCCGCAUGCCCUUCACUGGGUGUGUCGGGGAACCAGGACUUUUACUUUGAAAAAAUUAGAGUGUUCAAAGCAGGCCUUUGCUCGAAUACAUUAGCAUGGAAUAAUAGAAUAGGACGUGCGGUCCUAUUUUGUUGGUUUCUAGGACCGCCGUAAUGAUUAAUAGGGAUAGUCGGGGGCAUCAGUAUUCAAUUGUCAGAGGUGAAAUUCUUGGAUUUAUUGAAGACUAACUACUGCGAAAGCAUUUGCCAAGGAUGUUUUCAUUAAUCAGUGAACGAAAGUUAGGGGAUCGAAGACGAUCAGAUACCGUCGUAGUCUUAACCGUAAACUAUGCCGACUAGGGAUCGGGCGAUGUUAUUCUUUUGACUCGCUCGGCACCUUACGAGAAAUCAAAGUC
Molecule: ribosomal RNA, 1022 nt
Filed under: Macrophomina phaseolina
Lineage: Eukaryota; Fungi; Ascomycota; Dothideomycetes; Botryosphaeriales; Botryosphaeriaceae
Description: SSU rRNA
Rfam family: Eukaryotic small subunit ribosomal RNA
Source: RNAcentral